This is a small nuclear RNA of Callithrix jacchus (white-tufted-ear marmoset), 102 nucleotides long. NCBI's taxonomy places the organism in Eukaryota, Metazoa, Chordata, Mammalia, Primates, Cebidae. The record is from Ensembl.
UUGCUUUCUCAGCACAUAUAUAAAAUUGGAAGGCUACAGAGAAGAUUACCAUGGCUUCUGUGCAAGGAUGGCACAUACAUUUGGGAAGCACUCCAUAUUUUU